This 505-nucleotide ribosomal RNA is filed under the name uncultured Sphingobacteriales bacterium. RNAcentral describes it as "bacterial SSU rRNA". It matches the Rfam family "Bacterial small subunit ribosomal RNA", at positions 903 to 1382 of the family's 1533-position model. The record is from RNAcentral. Lineage: Bacteria; Pseudomonadati; Bacteroidota; Sphingobacteriia; Sphingobacteriales.
CGCCUUGCCAGCCCGCUCAGAAACUUAAAGGAAUUGACGGGGGCCCGCACAAGCGGAGGAGCAUGUGGUUUAAUUCGAUGAUACGCGAGGAACCUUACCUGGGCUCGAACGUAAGAUGACUGUAGGUGAAAGCUUACAUCUCUUCGGAGCAUUUUACGAGGUGCUGCAUGGUUGUCGUCAGCUCGUGCCGUGAGGUGUCGGGUUAAGUCCCAUAACGAGCGCAACCCCUACCUUUAGUUGCCAUCAGGUAAUGCUGGGGACUCUAAAGGAACUGCCUACGCAAGUAGUGAGGAAGGCGGGGAUGACGUCAAACCAGCGCGGCCCUUACGUCCAGGGCUACACACGUGCUACAAUGGCCGAUACAGAGGGCAGCUACCUGGUGACAGGAUGCAAAUCUCCAAAGUCGGUCUCAGUUCGGAUCGGAGUCUGCAACCCGACUCCGUGAAGUUGGAUUCGCUAGUAAUCGCGCAUCAGCCAUGGCGCGGUGAAUACGUUCCCGGGCCUU